CAAUAACCUUACCGCAAAAGCUUUAACUGUAAGGUACCUUGAAAUGGUUAGUAUCUAUAAGAACAGGGUUUCAUAUAGAUUAGUAUUAUUUUCUUAAAUUUUAUAUUAGAACAUUACAAUUAAAUACAAUGUUCAAUAAUUAUGUAAUACAAUUCAAUACCCUGAUAUGAAAUUAAUAAUAUACUUUUCUUUAAUACAUGUAAUCAAAUUAAAUAACGCCCA
RNAcentral lists this long non-coding RNA (222 nucleotides) under Mytilus galloprovincialis (Mediterranean mussel). Lineage: Eukaryota; Metazoa; Mollusca; Bivalvia; Mytilida; Mytilidae. The record is from RNAcentral.